RNAcentral lists this ribosomal RNA (840 nucleotides) under Arthrobacter monumenti. RNAcentral's name for it is "bacterial SSU rRNA". It matches the Rfam family "Bacterial small subunit ribosomal RNA", at positions 60 to 910 of the family's 1533-position model. Lineage: Bacteria; Bacillati; Actinomycetota; Actinomycetes; Micrococcales; Micrococcaceae. The record is from RNAcentral.
UGUCGAACGAUGAUCCCAGCUUGCUGGGGGAUUAGUGGCGAACGGGUGAGUAACACGUGAGUAACCUGCCCUUAACUCUGGGAUAAGCCUGGGAAACCGGGUCUAAUACCGGAUACGACGACCGGCCGCAUGGUCUGGUCGUGGAAAGCUUUAUUGCGGUUUUGGAUGGACUCGCGGCCUAUCAGCUUGUUGGUGAGGUAAUGGCUCACCAAGGCGACGACGGGUAGCCGGCCUGAGAGGGUGACCGGCCACACUGGGACUGAGACACGGCCCAGACUCCUACGGGAGGCAGCAGUGGGGAAUAUUGCACAAUGGGCGAAAGCCUGAUGCAGCGACGCCGCGUGAGGGAUGAAUGCCUUCGGGUUGUAAACCUCUUUCAGUAGGGAAGAAGCGAAAGUGACGGUACCUGCAGAAGAAGCGCCGGCUAACUACGUGCCAGCAGCCGCGGUAAUACGUAGGGCGCAAGCGUUAUCCGGAAUUAUUGGGCGUAAAGAGCUCGUAGGCGGUUUGUCGCGUCUGCUGUGAAAGCCCGGGGCUCAACCCCGGGUCUGCAGUGGGUACGGGCAGACUAGAGUGCAGUAGGGGAGACUGGAAUUCCUGGUGUAGCGGUGAAAUGCGCAGAUAUCAGGAGGAACACCGAUGGCGAAGGCAGGUCUCUGGGCUGUAACUGACGCUGAGGAGCGAAAGCAUGGGGAGCGAACAGGAUUAGAUACCCUGGUAGUCCAUGCCGUAAACGUUGGGCACUAGAUGUGGGGGACAUUCCACGUUUUCCGCGUCGUAGCUAACGCAUUAAGUGCCCCGCCUGGGGAGUACGGCCGCAAGGCUAAAACUCAAAGGAAU